Long non-coding RNA from Hemibagrus wyckioides, 884 nucleotides. RefSeq lists it as uncharacterized. The record is from RefSeq and is a predicted model, not a curated record. The transcript has 3 exons. Lineage: Eukaryota; Metazoa; Chordata; Actinopteri; Siluriformes; Bagridae.
CCACAAUCGAUCUGCUGCUUCAGCCAAGGAAUGAAGAGUGGUUUGGGCUGAGCCAUUGGAGCAGAGUGGUGUCGUAAACUCAGACAAAUCAGUACCGAUACCACACGGGUGAAUUUCUGGAGAAGAUGGAAAUAUGGAAGAGCUUCAAGGGUCAUCAGUUCUAAGGUGUUGAAGAGUGUGUCCAGCCAGCUCUGAUUGGCCAUGCACUGCUGAACAACCUCCUCUUGCCCGGGAUCUUCGGACGCCGGUGGACGGUGUGGUAUUUGCUGAAACAUGCGGUCUCAAAAAGACAAAAAAACCCCGAUGCCAUGUGUUACCGCCAACUCUCCAUGAGCCUCGGGGAAGACGGCUCUGAAUUUGACAACACGUUUUUUUUUUUUUUUAAUUGGCGUAUGGCAUCAGAACAUAAUGUUAUGAAAUGAAUAAUGAAGCAUUGCUGCUUUAUACCGUAUGUGCAAGCUCUUGUUAGAAAUGUCUUUAUAUAAAUAAUAGAAAUGCGCGUAUAGCUCUCUGGUUUCGCUCACGUAGCAUUAAGUGUUACACUGGUUAGCAUUUUUUUUUUUCACUGUCAGUUUUCCUUUCGCACGCCACUCUUCGCUCGUUUAUAAAGCGUCGCUCCUCCACUCGAGGGAAAAAAAAUGCAGAAUAAAAGUUCGUAGUCUUAAAAAAUAAUCUGUGUAAAAUUCAAAUCGUAACAGACUUCCUCCUUGCAAGGUCUUUAAAUUCCAAAUGGUCAAAGUUUUUCUUCCAAAUCAACAUCGCGUAAAAUUUGUACAGUACUCUACGUCGGUCAUUUUCCGUUUCACCUGUCAGUUAACGAAUUCACCGCCGCGAAAAGGGAGCAAUCCAUCCACUCAUCAGCCCUCUCUCUCUCUCUCUCUCUC